CUGUUUCGACCAAGACGGAGGAGGUCUCGUGGAGGCUGUGUCCACCCGAGAGCCGCACACCUGGAGAUCAGAUGGGAGAAUGACUGUCAAGCAGACCUGUGAUUUUAGCUUUGAAAGGGCUGCCCACGAUGUGCUGCGGCCCGCCGUAUUUGAUGGUGAUGAGAUAGUUGCCAGGUGCCAUGGGAGUGUAGGUGAUUUUGUAGCCUUCAGGACACUCCCGACAGUCCAUCUUAACCUUGGAAGGUCCGUCGAUGUUGACAGAUAGAGGGCCUGAGCCGGCAUUACAGGUUUUGACCACAAACUCUGAAGCGACACCUGGAGGGAAGAUAGAGGAAGAUGUCCAGGACCAUGUGCAGUCACCAUGCCUGGGUCUCCAAUCAGUCCCGGGUCUCCCACUCUCACAUUGAAGGGGCUUCCAGGAAUGUGGCAUCCAUUGAACUUGACAUCUAUUGAGUGAACUCCAUUCUCCCGUGGAAUGAAACGGAUUGCACUCUUGUCUGGAAACAACACAAGAGGGGAGGAGAGGUUACAGCAAGAUUCAGACAGAUACAAAGCUGCACUCUCUAACUUUUGGGAUUUUGUGCUGUGAUUAUUGCAGUCCAUGCGUACCACUGUCGAGCUCAGUGACGUAGCACUCCUCAGAAGAGCCAGAGGGCGUGUGGACUUUGGCGUCAACCACACCUCGAGCCCCAUUUCGCUGCACCAUGAAGGAAGCUUCUUGGUUUAUCUUCAAGUCCUUCUCCUGCUUGAGACGGGGAAGAAUAUCAUCAGAAUAUCUGAGAUAACAUACUGGGUGCACCAGCCACGCCCCUCUCCAGGCCGGGUCCUCCAGCACGGACUUUAUGUGCUCCUCCCUCCCCCAUGGGCCCUACAGUAAACUGGAAGGGGCUUCCAGGGACGUGCUGGCCUCUGUAUUUGACGUUGACAGUGUGGGGUCCCAUUUCCUGUGGGAUGAAGCGGACGCUGUACGUGUUGCUCCCUCCAUCCACAAUGUCGGCAUCCACUGUUUUCCCACUGGGGCUCGUCACCUGACCUGUCAUGGCCUGCGAGCCACUCUCCACUACAAAGGCAGCACGGCACAGCAGGAACUCCAGCGCCACAGAGACAUUUUCCAGUUUCAUCUGACGGAAGUUUGGCCUGAUGUGGUGCUUUCUGUACAUUUUCUUCUGGCUCAAAACCUCCAGGAGUGAAAUGAGCUUGAGCCCAUCACUAAAAUCCCUCUGCAGGAACUGUGGUGGUGGUGUUGUGACUCAGCAGUCAGUGACAAGGCAGUGACACCAGAUGCCAGCACCAGCCUUGAUGAAGCAGUGGGAGGUAAGAAUCACUGUGACACAUGCAGAAAGAAUUCUCAGGAUAUUCUCUCUGGACUCCAGCAACCGCAAUGUUAAUCCCCCCCCACUAUGUAGUGAGUUUGUUCUGUUUAAACCAUUCUGAGCCUUUUGGUCAAUUAGCUUUAUUGUGAAUUAUAGAUAAACUGCAGAGCCACUGAUGUGUGAGGUUAAAUGAAUCUGACACUUGUGUGAAGUCAACAACUCCCAGAGUUGGAUCGGCGACAAGAGUGACUACUACAAUUAUUAUUAGUAGUAGUAUAGUAAUAUAGUAUAUUGUCAUCACGUCUAAAUGAAUAGAUAGGCCGAAAAUAGAUGGUUACGUGACUUCAUCUCAUUUCUACGUUAAGUAUAAGUGUGUACGUGAGUAACCGACUUAAAAACCAAGUCACAGAACUGUAUCUUUUGACCUGGACACUAUUCACCUGACUUGGUGUCUCCAGAGGAUCCAUGGCUUCUCUCACAGUCCUUUUUAAUUAGCAUUUUCUUGUUAGCCUGUCAGCUGCAUAUAUUAAAUAUUUAAGACUGGAUUUGGGGUGAAUUUGUUGGCCAGAUAAGCCCAAGGCCAAGGGACAGCUGAUUAGAUUUAGCUGGUGAUGUAGAUCUGACAUUUCCUCUGACAUUGCCAUAACUCUGAUACUGAAUGAGAUUUAAAGAAAAAAAUAAAACCUGGGUCAGAAACAAGUGAGAACAUUUGCAGGCUCAGGAAACUAAUUUGACUUCAACCUCAGGUGAAGAUGUUCAGUGAGGGUUUCUCCUAACUUUAUCUAAUGACUUCGACCUCAUGAAGCUGGCGUUUGGACUAUUUUUAGAUAAUUAGCUGCACUUAGUAAAUCAUGAGUCCUGGCAGCGCGGUCAUAGCUGUAGUAUAGACACCUCAUCAGUAACAUUCACUCACCAGUUCCGGCUAUCUGUAAAACUUCCAUGUCUGUGAGCUUAUGUCAUGUCUCAGGGGUGAAGGUUAUUAAUAACCACACAACCCAUGUAACGUGACGCCAGCAUCGAGAUAUAGUUCUCACUCACUUUGACUGCUGACUGAUUUUGACUGAUUUUAAUGAAUGAGAUUGUGUGAGAUUCUAAACCAUUCGUUUUUUGAUAGGGGAAAAAAAAAAGGUCUCAAACAUCAUAUGAGAUGGACAUAUUUAUUUUUUCAAAUCAUUUACAGUACAAAAUAGACCUCCAGGUAACAAAAUAGCCACAAUUAUAUUUAAAACAUCACUGCUAUCAAUAUAUAAAGCAGCAAGCUGAGCAACACUGUGCAACAUAGACUCGUAGGAUUAAGUUAAAUAUUCAUGGCGUAAGCUCAAAGACGAUAA
Molecule: long non-coding RNA, 2644 nt
Organism: Solea senegalensis (Senegalese sole)
Lineage: Eukaryota; Metazoa; Chordata; Actinopteri; Pleuronectiformes; Soleidae
Exons: 6
Source: RefSeq, a predicted model, not a curated record